RNAcentral lists this ribosomal RNA (253 nucleotides) under uncultured bacterium. Its description in RNAcentral is "partial 16S ribosomal RNA". It matches the Rfam family "Bacterial small subunit ribosomal RNA", at positions 524 to 776 of the family's 1533-position model. The record is from RNAcentral.
UACGUAGGGCGCGAGCGUUGUCCGGAAUUAUUGGGCGUAAAGAGCUCGUAGGUGGUCUGUUACGUCUGCUGUGAAAACCUAGGGCUUAACCCUGGGCCUGCAGUGGAUACGGGCAGACUAGAGGUAGGUAGGGGAGAAUGGAAUUCCCGGUGUAGCGGUGAAAUGCGCAGAUAUCGGGAGGAACACCGGUGGCGAAGGCGGUUCUCUGGGCCUUACCUGACACUGAGGAGCGAAAGCGUGGGGAGCGAACAGG